GCUCCUGCUUCUGAACCAGUUCCAUGAUGUGGUGACUGGAAGCUGCAUCCAGAUGGUGGCAGAGGAAGCCAUGUGCCACUAUGAAGACAUCCGUUCCCAUGGCAAUACACUGCUCAGCGCCGCAGCCGCAGCCCUGUGUGCUGGGGAGCCAGGUCCUGAGGGCCUCCUCAUCGUCAACACGCUGCCCUGGAAGCGGACCGAAGUGAUGGCCCUGCCCAAACCAGGCGGGGCCCACAGCCUAGCCCUGGUGACAGUGCCCAGCAUGGGCUAUGCUCCUGUUCCUCCCCCGACCUCGCUGCAGCCCCUGCUGCCCCAGCAGCCUGUGUUCGUAGUGCAAGAGGUGAGUCCUGCAUGUCCUGGGGGGCAGGAGCUGUGCUGGGAUACUUUCUAACAACUGAGGGUCCUGAGCACCCCUGCCUGGAGCAAGUGGUGAGGCGGGGCUGGGGUUGGGGUGGGAAGACUUUUGGUGUGGGAAGCCCCUACAGACUCAGCCUCAAGGCCUCCUCCCACAAAGACUGACGGCUCCGUGACUCUGGACAAUGGCAUCAUCCGAGUGAAGCUGGACCCAACUGGCCGCCUGACGUCCUUGGUCCUGGUGGCCUCUGGCAGGGAGGCCAUUGCCGAGGGUGCCGUGGGGAACCAGUUUGUGCUAUUUGAUGAUGUCCCCUUGUACUGGGAUGCAUGGGACGUCAUGGACUACCACCUGGAGACACGGAAGCCUGUGCUGGGCCAGGCAGGGACCCUGGCAGUGGGCACCGAGGGCGGCCUGCGGGGCAGCGCCUGGUUCUUGCUACAGAUCAGCCCCAACAGUCGGCUUAGCCAGGAGGUUGUGCUGGACGUUGGCUGCCCCUAUGUCCGCUUCCACACCGAGGUACACUGGCAUGAGGCCCACAAGUUCCUGAAGGUGGAGUUUCCUGCUCGCGUGCGGAGUUCCCAGGCCACCUACGAGAUCCAGUUUGGGCACCUGCAGCGACCUACCCACUACAAUACCUCUUGGGACUGGGCUCGAUUUGAGGUGUGGGCCCAUCGCUGGAUGGAUCUGUCAGAACACGGCUUCGGGCUGGCCCUGCUCAACGACUGCAAGUAUGGCGCGUCAGUGCGAGGCAGCAUCCUCAGCCUCUCGCUCUUGCGGGCGCCUAAAGCCCCGGACGCUACUGCUGACACGGGGCGCCACGAGUUCACCUACGCGCUGAUGCCGCACGAGGGCUCUUUCCAGGAUGCUGGCGUUAUCCAAGCUGCCUACAGCCUAAACUUCCCCCUGUUGGCUCUGCCAGCCCCCAGCCCAGCGCCCGCCACCUCCUGGAGUGCCUUUUCCGUGUCUUCACCCGCGGUCUUAUUGGAGACCGUCAAGCAGGC
This 1356-nucleotide small RNA is filed under the name Pongo abelii (Sumatran orangutan). Its description in RNAcentral is "retained intron". Lineage: Eukaryota; Metazoa; Chordata; Mammalia; Primates; Hominidae. The record is from RNAcentral.